Molecule: transfer RNA, 73 nt
Filed under: Mus musculus (house mouse)
Lineage: Eukaryota; Metazoa; Chordata; Mammalia; Rodentia; Muridae
Description: tRNA-Ala
Source: RNAcentral
UUGGCGAUGACUCAGUUGGUAAAGUGCUUAUCUUGCAAGCAUGAGGGCCUGAGUUUGAGCCCCAGAACCUAAG